Molecule: small RNA, 27 nt
Filed under: Bombyx mori (domestic silkworm)
Lineage: Eukaryota; Metazoa; Arthropoda; Insecta; Lepidoptera; Bombycidae
Description: ovarian small RNA-9722
Source: RNAcentral
UUGCGAUGAAAUUGAUCAUCUUGGCGC